Molecule: long non-coding RNA, 582 nt
Filed under: Olea europaea (common olive)
Lineage: Eukaryota; Viridiplantae; Streptophyta; Magnoliopsida; Lamiales; Oleaceae
Description: long non-coding RNA (OEUR_LNC006825)
Source: RNAcentral
AAAAAAAAAAUUGCAAAUGAGACCCAUACAAAUCAUUAAAAAAUGAAAAAUAAAACCCAUUAAAAGUUACAACAUCUUCAACCUCGGUUUCUUCCUAUCCAACUGCUGAUGCCUUCUUUUUGAACCCAUCUUCAACCUCGGUUUCUUCCUUCCGCAACUCAGCUUCAACCCCCAAUUACUUCCCCAACCAAACUUCAAUCCCAAUUUCCUCCACCCAACUCGUUCCCUUUUUCCUUGAAUGAAUGAUUAUCAAUAAGAAUAUCCUAUAAUCAUAUUACCUUGAAUAUUGACAUAAAGCUAAAAAGUUAAAACUCUCAUCCAUAAGCGAAAACCGAUAAAAACAGCCAACAAAAUCGAAAAAUCUGUGGUAGAAUAUGGACCCAAUUAUCUACACAUUGCAAAUAAAGAAUUUUUAACUCAGUUGAAAACUUCCUAAAUUGUUAAGACUGCCAUGGGACUGAAUAGGUUGGGGAGGAAGAACUGAAGAAACAGGGAUGGAGAUGGAUUGGGAAAGAAAUAAUCGAAGAUUAUUGUCACAAAUUAUUUUAAUUUUAGACAACUUUAUUUGUUUGCUGUAGGUGG